GGGGGCGAUUUAGCGUCGACAUUUAUGGGUUGAAAUCGGUCAAGCGUGUGGGCGGCGUGGGCAUACCUUAAUUGGCCACAAAAGGUUAAAUGCAAACCAUAAAAAUGCAAACCUCGCUCUUGCUGCUUAAUUUAUUAGGAAGUUAGAGGUAAACGGGGAGGAUAGUGGAUUUACUCAUUCAAUUGCUAUCUUGAAACAAUGAGAGAACGAAUUGACAAUUCAUUGCAAACGAAGUGAUCAAUUUGUAGAAAUGUUUGCACUUUCUUGGUCAUUUGUCAUUAAAGGAAUCAAGAAGGAAGAAGGAUAAUGACUACACACGUAGAAACACCGAUUACGACAUGAUUGGACGAGGGUGCAAUUCCCUCCGCUUCCACCA
Molecule: transfer-messenger RNA, 376 nt
Filed under: Christensenellaceae bacterium
Lineage: Bacteria; Bacillati; Bacillota; Clostridia; Christensenellales; Christensenellaceae
Rfam family: transfer-messenger RNA
About the family: Bacterial tmRNA, also known as 10Sa RNA or SsrA, is named for its dual tRNA and mRNA-like properties. Its role is to liberate the mRNA from a stalled ribosome.
Source: RNAcentral